This 797-nucleotide long non-coding RNA is filed under the name Musa acuminata (dwarf banana). RNAcentral's name for it is "long non-coding RNA (MACU_LNC008384)". Lineage: Eukaryota; Viridiplantae; Streptophyta; Magnoliopsida; Zingiberales; Musaceae. The record is from RNAcentral.
GGCGGCCGACGCGAGGAGGAGGAGAAGUGGGUGCCCGUCACCAAGCUCGGUCGCCUCGUCAAGGAGGGCAAGAUCACCAGCCUCGAGCAGAUCUACCUACACUCCCUCCCCGUGAAGGAGCACCAGAUCAUCGACACCCUCCUCGGUGGCCGCCUUAAGGAUGAGGUCAUGAAGAUCAUGCCUGUCCAGAAGCAGACCCGCGCCGGCCAGCGCACCCGCUUCAAGGCCUUCGUCGUCGUCGGCGACACUGAUGGCCACGUGGGCCUCGGCGUCAAGUGCGCCAAGGAGGUCGCCACCGCAAUCCGCGGCGCCAUCAUCCUGGCCAAGCUGUCGGUUAUCCCCGUCAGGAGAGGUUACUGGGGGAACAAGAUCGGCAAGCCCCACACCGUGCCCUGCAAGGUCACGGGGAAGUGCGGGUCGGUCACUGUCCGCAUGGUGCCCGCACCAAGGGGGGCGGGGAUCGUUGCUGCCCGUGUGCCGAAGAAGGUGCUCCAAUUUGCUGGGAUAGAGGACGUGUUCACCUCGUCCCGUGGCUCCACCAAGACUCUGGGAAACUUUGUCAAGGUCUGUGUUUCUUGUUCACUAUUGUGUUGCUUUACUUUGUGCGAUGGACUGUGGUUGUGUUGGUUUCUUAUAGCAAUUCCUAGGAAUGCAUCAACCUCUUUUAUGUGUUUGUCCGCGUUCGUGCAUGUCAAUGCUUCUACGUUUUAUUUGCUCUUUUAUUAGUGCAUGUGUUUUGUGGCCCAUCUUUGUGAUGGGCUAAUAGGCUUUGUUUACAAACAUUAUUGCAGCUAAUA